RNAcentral lists this ribosomal RNA (1015 nucleotides) under Limnadia lenticularis. Its description in RNAcentral is "eukaryotic LSU rRNA". It matches the Rfam family "Eukaryotic large subunit ribosomal RNA", at positions 54 to 954 of the family's 3401-position model. The record is from RNAcentral. Lineage: Eukaryota; Metazoa; Arthropoda; Branchiopoda; Diplostraca; Limnadiidae.
AGGAAAAGAAACUAACAAGGAUUCCCCUAGUAGCGGCGAGCGAAGAGGGAAGAGCCCAGCACCGAACCUCGCGCCCUCGGGUGUCGCGGAAUGUGGUGUUCAGGAGGACCGUGCGCGUCUGUCCGGUAUCGUCCAAGUCUCCAUGAAUGGGGCCAGCAACCCAGAGAGGGUGUCAGGCCCGUGGGACGAGCCGCGACCGUGUAUUGGGUCUCUCCUUAGAGUCGGGUUGCUUGAGAGUGCAGCCCUAAGCGGGAGGUAAACUCCUUCUAAGGCUAAAUACGGCCACGAGACCGAUAGCAAACAAGUACCGCGAGGGAAAGUUGAAAAGAACUUUGAAGAGAGAGUUCAAGAGUGCGUGAAACCGUUCAGGGGGUUAAACGGGUGGGCCCUCGAAGGUCGAACGGUCCCCACUCCCGUCACCUGUAGUGCCGGCCCGUGCUGCUUUUCGAUUCCGCUACGGAACGAGGCUUGGUGCGGUUCGCCGGUCUACGGGGGCCGCUAGCUGGGGACCCAGUAGGACUCCGCAACCGGCUGGGAGGCCGUCAGAAGGGUUCUGUGAGGAAGCCCCCUCGUUGGGGUGGAUUCCGGGAUUCCGGGCGGUCCUCUCGGCCGUGAACCAAAAUUUCUCUCCUCACGGGGAGAAUGAGCGGAGAGUAGAGUCGGGUCCCACCCGACCCGUCUUGAAACACGGACCAAGGAGUCUAACAUGUGCGCGAGUCGUCGGGUACUACUAAACCCGAAGGCGUAAUGAAAGUGAAAGCCGCCCUUGUUGGCGGCCGAGGGGAGAUCCCGUUCUGCUCCGGUAGCUCGGGCGCAUCCCCGGGGCGUCGAAGCCGCGUUGCCGGCUAGACGAACCAAGAGCGUACACGUUGGGACCCGAAAGAUGGUGACCUAUGCCUGGCCAGGACGAAGCCAGGGGAAACCCUGGUGGAGGUCCGCAGCGAUUCUGACGUGCAAAUCGAUCGUCUGAGUUGGGUAUAGGGGCGAAAGACUAAUCGAACCAUCUAGUAGCUGG